CUGUUUUUGAGACCACAGUGUUCAUCAGCAGCAUCCUACUUCUCCUCCUCCCCAUCUUGCUGGUUUCUGCAUCCUAUGCCUUCAUCCUCCACAGCCUCAUUCAGAUGCGUGCAGCUGGGAAGUCAAGAAAAGAGCCUGACAUGAACUAACUGCUCAAUAACUAUUUGUUGCAUGGGUUAAUAAAUGAAAAGGACCUGGAUUAUUUUACUGUCCCACAUGACAUUCAAGGUAAUUAAUUCAAAGAGCUGAAGAUAUUAUAAAAAGAAUACUACAGUGGAUAGCUUGGUAAGAAUCAUUUGUCUCAGCCAGAUAUUAAUCGCGUGUAUAUGCAGAGGCCUGGCAUCCCAGUGAACUUUCCUGGGGUCUAAUGGUCUGAGGGAUGCCAGAGUGAGGGACAAAUUUUUAUAUCCUGCUUUCCCUACUAGUUAAAAAUGUCAUGAAUCCCUGGGACCAUCUUCAGAAUAAUAACUCUUAAGGUUUGAGAGGAAAGUUAUACUGUCUUCGACAACUAAGUAUUUUCCCCUGAGAAACAGCUUUUUAGCCAUCUGUAAUCGGGUGAGCCACCCCUCAUGAGCUGGGUGUCAUCUUACCCACCUAGCCCUGAGGUUGGAUUUACUUUGUAAUACUCCAAUGACAAGUAGAAUUAAUUUUUACACAAACUAUACCUGGGUUGUUUCUGAAGUCCCAAGGGUGAUUCAUAAACAGCUAGCUCACAAUCCCAGUUAGAGACAGGGGGUUAUUCUUCUGCUGCCUCUCCCUCUCUACACACACAACAAUGCCCUUGUCAGGAAUCCUAUAAGAUUAUUUGAGAACAAAACAAUCGAAGCCAACAUUAUGGAUACUUAUUCGAGGACAGUAAGGGCUAUAAGAUGGAUAAGUUCUAUGGAUAUAGUUUACAGCAUGGUGACUAUAGUUCACAAAACAGUAUUGUAUAUUUGAAAGUUGCUAAGAGAAUAGAUCAUAAAAGUUCUUCCGACGAGAAAAAAUGUAUAAUGUUGUGAGGUGAUGGAUGUUAACUAAACUUACUGUGGUCAUCAUUUCACGAUAGAUACAUAAAUUAUUGUGUUGGACACCUUGGGUUAAUAUAAUAUUAUGUGUCAACUAUAUCUAAUAAAACAGGAAACAAUAAAUCUCACCCUUUAAUAAAAACAAACAAACAAACAAACACUACAAUGAGACAGCAUUUCAUGUCCAUUAGGAUGGCUAUCAUUAAAGAAACAGAAUGCAAGUGUUGGUGAGGAAGGUGAAGAACGUGG
Molecule: long non-coding RNA, 1256 nt
Filed under: Equus caballus (horse)
Lineage: Eukaryota; Metazoa; Chordata; Mammalia; Perissodactyla; Equidae
Description: lncRNA (ENSECAG00000053744.1)
Source: RNAcentral